This 440-nucleotide ribosomal RNA is filed under the name uncultured bacterium. RNAcentral's name for it is "partial 16S ribosomal RNA". It matches the Rfam family "Bacterial small subunit ribosomal RNA", at positions 338 to 795 of the family's 1533-position model. The record is from RNAcentral.
CCUACGGGAGGCAGCAGUAGGGAAUAUUGCACAAUGGGGGAAACCCUGAUGCAGCGACGCCGCGUGAGUGAAGAAGUAAUUCGUGAUGUAAAGCUCUAUCAGCAGGGAAGAAAAGGACGGUACCUGAGUAAGAAGCCCCGGCUAACUACGUGCCAGCAGCCGAGGGAAUACGUAGGGGGCAAGCGUUAUCCAGAUUUACUGGGUGUAAAUGGAGCGUAGACGGCAGGGCAAGUCUGGAGUGAAAGGCGGGGGCUCAACCCCCGGACUGCUCUGGAAACUGUACGGCUGGAGUGCAGGAGAGGUAAGUGGAAUUCCUAGUGUAGCGGUGAAAUGCGUAGAUAUUAGGAGGAACACCAGUGGCGAAGGCGGCUUACUGGACUGUAACUGACGUUGAGGCUCGAAAGCGUGGGGAGCAAACAGGAUUAGAUACCCGGGUAGUC